UACGUAGGUGGCAAGCGUUGUCCGGAUUUAUUGGGUUUAAAGGGUGCGUAGGCGGCCUAUUAAGUCAGUGCUGAAAUACCCCGGCUUAACCGGGAGGGUGGCAUUGAUACUGAUGGGCUUGAGUAGAGUUGAGGUUGGCGGAAUUGACGGUGUAGCGGUGAAAUGCUUAGAUAUCGUCAAGAACACCUAUUGCGAAGGCAGCUAACUAAGCUCAAACUGACGCUGAGGCACGAAAGUGUGGGGAUCAAACAGG
Molecule: ribosomal RNA, 253 nt
Filed under: uncultured bacterium
Lineage: Bacteria
Description: partial 16S ribosomal RNA
Rfam family: Bacterial small subunit ribosomal RNA
Source: RNAcentral